CAAACAAGGAAAGACAAACGGAUCAAGUCGAUUAUAUCGACCCCAGUGCGUAACUGGUACUUAUUUAAUCGACCCCGAAAGGAUGAAAGGCAAAGUCGACCUCGGUGGAAUUCGAACUCAGAUCGUAAAGACAGACGAAAUACAGCUAAGCAUUUCGCCCGACGUGCUUAACGUUCCUGCCAGCUCACCGCCCUAUUACGAGGACUUGGUGCUUGCUAAGUCACUUUCUGAACAUUCCGAAAGGUAGAUAGGCACCUGUUCGAGGAGAUUCUGAAUUUCCUCAGUCAAUGUUUAACAUGAGAAAUGUUGCUAAUAAGAGUAUCUGAAUUGGAAGAGAGCGGCUUGUUGUUUUUGUUGAAGUGAGGAAAUGGAGACGAGGGGCUAAUUUGAUGUAGUGUGCCACUGUCAGAGGUCACCGUCUAUGGGGCAUUGUGGAUCAACGCCGAUCUUUCAAAAGCAGUAACGGCUGCUGAGAUGAUGGUCUGUAGUAGUACUUCCAGAGAAUGAACAAGAGCCGAGUCAUCAGUAUGCUAUGAUCAAAAGAUUUGUUCAGACUUGAACUUAUUAGAAGCCCAUAACAACUGAUGCCGGAGGUUAACAAAGGCUCCUACACGUUUUAUAGUUUAUGAUGAAGAAGAUAUACAUGUGUAUGUACAUGCGCGCAUGCAUAAAUAAAUCAACAUGGUCACAUAUUAGGAAAACAUCAAACAGUAAAGGUUGCUAGCAUGCAGCCAUGACUAAUUCCCGUUUAUUUACACUUGAAGGUGUCAGAUUUCUGCCCUCCGAAAAGCAAUUCAGGUCAUCAUUCAUGAGUAGAGCUGAGGGAGAUUUCACAAAUUUGGGUUUGGAACCAAAGUUUCAGAGAACAUCCAACGGAAGUUCUGUUUAUAUUGUUAAAAACCCUAGACACAUCAAAAGAUCAAAUGAACAGAUCCCAAUGUUUCACGCUGCUUUGUGAGAAAGAUAUUGGCUGUGCUUCAUUCAAUUCCAGUGGAAGUUGUACUGUGACUCUUGGAGCGAUGUUUUCUGAUAUUCAUUAACCGAGUCUUUUCGAACACGGAUUUGGUCAGGACGUUCCCUCUGCACUCAUGCCGUUUUUCUCGCUUCUCCUUGUAAUGAUCGGCACGAUUAUCUUCCAUUAUCUUCAAUCCCACCCCUACAGUGAGAAGCCAACUGCAGAACUGAAUCGUUGCAUAGCAUUGUCUUCCUCUUUUGCAAGGUUGAUGUUGCUUCUCUUCACAACGGUUCUACGAUUCUACUAUUGGACCAUAGUUGUCAUUCUCAUUUUUCUAGAUGCUGAAAACGAUAUCAGCAUCAUUGCACUAUUAACCCUUUGCCUGAUCUGUGUAUCACGAGAUACACAGGACAUGUUUCCCUGACGUCCAUGCAACAUAUAUGAUACACACUCGCAUUUUCCCCCUUAAUCAUCAAAGUAACUUGUGACUUAUCAAAAGAAAGCUUUACAUCACUCCCGACGUAUAUAACAAGGACUACUAACUUAGUCUGAAUAACAAGCACGGAUGUUUAGGACAAACUUAUGAAAAUGAUUUGGACAAGCAAAGAGUAAGUGGACGGUGCUCCUGAUUCCGACAGUUUAUCCAACAUUGUUGUAGCAAUGAAACUGUUCGUAUGUAGAGGUAACAACCCAUCACGCAACAUUUCUGCAAGAACGUCUGACCCAGGAAAUUUACAUUUUUCCAAGAAUUUUUUUAUAGCAACACAAACGUCAGCAAAGCACGGCUGGUUGUAAUAAUGGAUGAAAGAAAGAGAAUUCCACAAACUUGCUCCGUUACUGCUGCUGGAUCCACUUGUUUAAAAGCAUGUCGAAAUUUAUCCCCUCCCCGUUUUUUUUUAAAUAACUAUUGCGACUGGUCUUUUCAGUAGAGAUGUACCGAUUGAUGAUGACUAGACAGGUAUCAUUAAACAAUUCCUGAGACAAUAGACGAUGGUCUUUAUCCAAUCAUAAUAAGACAUUGUGCAUGUCUUGUUUGUCAGUAUGCAACUGACUGGGAUUUCGAUAAGAUCCACCGUAUUCAUUUAACAGACCAUAAAAGAUGGAUCUAACCUCUUUCAAAGAGACUGCGCCUUUUAGGGUAUGUGAUGAGGGAUUAUACAUAUCAUUCCAUCAGGAUCCUGGCAAUUGUUGGAGCUUUUCGUUUUGCAUGUGCCUGGGAGUGUAUACAUACAUACAUAUACAUACAUAUAUAUACAUACAUACAUAUAUAUACAUAUAUAUAUAUAUACAUAUAGGUGGAGUUUUGGAACAGGUUAUACUUCAUGGGGAAGGUUAAAUAAGAUUGGGGUGAAAGGAUGUUUGGGUUUUUUAAUGUUUUUUUAAUUAUUCCUGUAUUUCAUAAAACAGCAAUGACAAUGUUUGUGAAAGACUUUUCCCCAUAAAUUUCAGUAUUUUUUUUUACACUUUUGCCCCCAAUUCCAUGUCCCUUUUCCUUCCUCGUGAGACAGAUGGCUAUUCCGUAACUCCACGCACACACGGAUAAGCGUGUAAAUGUGCGCGCGCGCGUGUAUAAUAUAUAUAUAUAAAACACAUUUAUAAACGUGUAUAUAAUGUGUGUGUGUAUGUCCAACUUAUACCAGCAUGGAAAACGGACGUUAAAUGUUGAUAUCUAUAUAUACACCAACAUCACGUUGUGUGUAUAUAUAUAUAUAUAUAUAUAUAUAAAACUAUACAUUUAAACAAUUAUGUAUAAAUUCUUAACACACGCGUAUAUAUAUUGCUUAUAUUCACUUACACACACACACACACAUGCAUACUUAUACAAUGUAUUGUUAACUCCAUGUGAGUCCUGACCAUCGUUUUAUGUAGUGGCGAAGAUGGUACCUAGGACCACACUUUAAAUGUGUAUUGUUCUUUCCUGUAAAACAAUGGAGUGUAAUUUGAGGGAGAUUUGCUUACUAUUUCUUCUAAGUCGAAUGACUACAUAGGUAAAUCCCUUGUAAACAUGUGUGCAUAUUUAUUACAAGCUGAGCAGUAGCAUAAAAUGCUAAAAAAAAAAAAAAUGAAAAUAAAAUGCAUUGAAAUAACGACAGUUCUGAUGAGAAUAUGCUGUUGAUUUUAUCAAGGUUUGUUGAUACAUUUUAAGAAAGAUAAAUGACUCAAGGUAAACCAUUAUUUACAAUUGGCUGCGAAGUAGGAGAAAAAAAAAACAAAACAACUCAACAUUAAAUAAGAGAAGGGGGGAGGGGGAGAAAGAAAAAGGAAAGUGGAAAAAAAAAAAAAAGACAGCGAGAUAGAAAGAGAGAAAGUAUUAUUAGAGAUAAAGUGAAAGGGGGAGGGAGGUUAAUGUUGACAAGAUGGCUGCUGUAGUGAGGCGUUUUAGUUGUAAAUGUGAUCCAUCAAACGGCGGUUUUUCUUUGACGACAGGAAGAUCAGCUUCUGUACAGUCUUUUUUUUUAUAUAUAUAUAUUUACCAGAUUAUAGGAAAUAUAUAUUAUGUAUAAAUAUAUAUGGAGAGAGAGACAGAUAUAUUUAUUUAUUUAUUUUUAUUGAGUUACUUUUGUGUUUUAACUGCGGAAAUCGAAAACUAUGUCAGCCAGCACACACAGACACACACAUACAUAAAUAUUAUAACAUACACACAGAAUAAAUACACACAACAAUCAAAUAAAUAAUCUAACCUUUGUACAACUGCUUUUUACAUAUGUAUGUAUAUAUAUAUAUAUAUAUAAUUUUUCCCUUACUAAACUAAAUCAGUAAUAAUAAAAGACAAGACAUUAAAAGGCUCCCUUGAUCAUUCUUGUUCGUAUGUGCAUGUGUGCGAGACAGAUUUUUGUGUUUGUGUGUGUGUGUGUGUGUUCAUUGGCUGACAUAGUUUUCAAUUCCCAGUUAAAAUACAUAACCUUUUGGUGUAUUGUAUAGGGAGGAAAAAAAAAACCUACCAAUCUACGGCCAGAAUCCGUUUCGUCAUUCAUCGUCAUUGAAGUGCAAAAAUAUCCGCGAACCUGUUUUUUUGAAUAUUUAUUCUCCUUUUCGUUUUUUUUUUUUUUCUCACGUAAACUUUUACCUCAAAAAAAAAUUUUUUUAAAAAACAAAAAACCCUACUGUAGGUCUCUCCUUCCUUGGACACAGCAGUUUUCCAAGAAAAAAGAUUUAUAUUAUUAUUUUCUGUACGUGUUUAGAAAAUUAACAAAAUGGUACUCCGGUAUUAAUAUACAUACAUACAUAUAUAAAUAUUAAUGUGUAUAUGUAUAUAUAAAUAUAGGUGUGUCUAUGUAUAUCGCUAAAUAUAAAGCGUGGCAGAGAGAAAUGUGUCUUUGUAUCUUACUUUAUAUUGUGACAAAUAUAUAUAUAAAUAUAUAUAUAUAUUCAUAUAUAUAUAUGCAAAAUAUAGUUUAAAUGGCUUGUGGCCAGCAGAAAUUUGAUGUUAAUCUGCGGCCAACAAUAAAGACACCCGCAGAUUUACAGAAGUAAAGUAAGACUUCUCGUAGCUUUAUAAGAUUAUAAUAUUACUGCUUUCACUCCGUCUCUCACUUGAAGCUGAAAAACUCUUUUUGCCAAAUGAGUAUAUUCGUAUGCGUGUGCCUGUAGUAUCUGUGAACGCUCUAUAUAUAUACAUAUACGUGUAUGCAUAAAUAUAUAUAUAUGUAUACAUAUAUAUAUAUAUACAUAUACAUAUAUAUAUAUAUAUAUAUUUACAUAUAUAUAAAUAUAUGUAUAUAUAUAUAUAUAAUCAAUCUAUCUCAUUAGCUUAGCUCUCAGGGUAGCUAAAUCUUUUCACAACUGUCUCCUGUCAGUCCGCAUUGGAUAACAACGUCACAGCCACUGUCGGGUCAUGUGACAUGCGUUUUUCGUUACGUCAAACGCAUGUUUUGCGCACAUCACGUCCUGACCGCCAGAACGCAGUUAAGUGACUACAGAACGUCCGGACAAUGGCGCGACGUUUGAAGAUAGCAAAGGCUUAAACUCAUUUUCACUUGUCAGAUUUUAUUUACUACUUACUCAUAGUCAACACCCGAGCUCUAGCCGUAUCUUAUGUUUAAUUUUUUUUUAAAAAUUGUAUUUGUAUAUAUGUUGAAAUUAGCGAAGGAUAAAACUUGAUUAAUUACAGUGUGUAUACUGUAUUAUACGUUUACAUUUUGUACACACACACACACAUACACAUUUGUUCUUGUUUACCUUUCAGGUCUGUUUAAUCGAGCAAUCCGGCGAUUAUAGUUUGUUCAACCUUUGGGCAUUCUGUCAUAGGGUAUGUCUUGGACUAUACCAUCAAACUAUCUCCUUUUAUUUAUUUAUUUAUUUAUUUUCUUUUUAAAGCUUUUCCAGUCAUUUGACCGGUCAUGCUGGGGCAUCACCUUGAAACAUUUUUUAAUCGAAAGCAUUGACACCCCCCCCAGUACUUAUUCUAUCGAUUCCUUUUGCAGAACCGCUAAGUUACUGGGACGUAAAUACCAACACCGGUUGUCAAGCAGUGGUAGUGGUGGGAGGACAAAUAUACACACACACAUAGACAUACGGUGUGGUGCUGAAAAGUUCCUGGCUUUGGGUAAAAGAAAAUACAGGAGGAUCAGUUAAUUAUGAUUUUAUUCAACAUAUUCCCUCUCAGAUUCACACACUCAUUACAGCGGGCCUUCAGUUUUUCUAAGCCCUGUAAAAGAACUCGGAAAGUUGGGCCUCCAUCCAGGCCUUUCGAAACACCCUUAAAGCAGGGAAUUUUUCAGCACCCCUUCGUGUGUAUGUAUACAUAUAUAUAUAUUUAUUUUAUAGAAGGAGCUUCUACAGGACUAGAACUGUUUCAUCCUGUAGAAGCUCCUUCUAUAAAAUAAAUUAAUUUACUCUGCUAUGUAUUGAGUACCUUAUUUACUGUGGUUAACCCCGACUCAACCCGGGACCUACAUAUAUAUAUAUAUAUAUUGUUUGGCAAUUUUUAACAUCUAUGUAUUAGUCUUGUUGGGUACCUAUCUAGCAGUAUAUUGGAUAUAUGUUAUCCCAUGGUGGGUUGAAUUUUCAACCCCUAUCUCAUUUUAUAUAUAUAUAUAUAUAUAUGUAUAUACACACACACAUACAUACGAAUAUUCUAGGGGGUUCUUUCAGCUUCCGUCUACCAUAUUCACUCACAAGGCUUUGGUCGUCCCCAAGUUAAAAUAAAAGACACUUUUCCCAAGGUGACACGCAGUGAACUCUCCGAACUGAGUGGUUGGGAAGUAAGCUUCUUUACCAUACAAACCACGCCUGAUCUAUCUUGUUAUUUCUCUGAGAUCCGUCUCGUGUUUUCUGUUACUGAUAUUCACUGAGGCAAAAAUCAAUGCUCGUUUCUAUAGGUGCAGCUGUGGUGUUGUAGUAAGAAGCUUGCUUCUCAACCACAUGGUUCCAGGUUCAGUCAGACGGUAUGGCGCCCUGGGCAAAAUGUCUUCCACUUACAGCCUCAGGCCAGCUAUAAAGCCUUGUGAGUGGAUUUGGUAGACGGAAACUGAAAGAAGCACGUCGUAUAUACAUACAUACAUGUGUGUGUCUUUGUGACUGUUUGUCCCUCUCAGCCAUGUUGGUGUGUUUACGUCGCUGUAAUCUAGCAGUUCGACAAAAGAAAUCGAUUGAAUACCAGGCUUUAAAAAAGUACUGAGUUUGAUUCACUUGACUAAAAAAUUUCCUCUAGACAGUGCCCCAGCAUGGCCAUAAUCUAAUGACUGAUACAAGUAAAAAAAAUAAUAAAGUCUAUAAAUUUAACUAAGGAUAUUGACAACAUGACAUGAAUAGUUUGUGUUGCUUUCCCGAAAUAACUGUUUUCUUUAUAACUUAAUUUGCAUAUUUUUAUGAAAUUUUACAGGUACAUAUUUCACAGGUGUAAAUUAUAAUUAUUAUUUUAAUGUACUACUAGUUUUAAACAUUUGACUGGGGUCAUGCUGAAACAACCUUGAUACAUAUUUUUGAGCCUGGUACUUAUUCCAUCGAACUUUGCUAAGUUAUGGGGAUGUAAACAAACCAACACCAGUUGUCAAAUGGUGGUGAGGGACAAACACAUACAUAGAUGAGUGUGUGUGUCUGUAUAUAUACAUCGCUCAAUGACAACACUCAACCUCUUUUCACCGGGGGGAGGGGGUUUUCUAAAUUCUGUGUGGUGUCUGCGCUUUUUUUCUUUUUCUUUUUUUUUUCCUGUGGGGGGAAGGGGGCGGGUGGGAUGGAGUUGGACUGGGGGUACCACAUCACACUCAGUGUUCUUUUCUUCCUCUUCUUCCUUCUACUCUGUUACUAUCCAUUCUUCCUUUGACGAUAUGCUGUAUUUGAGAAGACCCAUCAAGCUAAGUAAGAUUGUAGUCGUAGACGAUGCCAGUGUUGUGUAACUGGAGCAUAAAAAGCAUCCUUGAAACGUUUGGUGAUAUGUUGUGCUUGAGAAAACCUGUCAAGUCAAGUGAAAUCGUAGUUGUGGUCAAUGCCAGUGCUGUUUGACUGGCACCCAUGCCAGUGGCACAUAUAGAGCACCGUUCAAGCAUUGGGUGUCACGGAGGCAGUGACAGGUGACCAAGACCUUUGGGGAUACACUGUUCUUGAGAAGACCUGUCAAGCCAAGUGAGAUCUUAGUUAUGGCCGAUGCCUGUAUCAGAUCAAUAGCACUGGUGCCAGUGGCACAUAAGAAGCACCACUCUUAGAGUGGUUGUCAUUAGGAAGGGCAGUCAGCCUUAGAAACCCUACCAAAUCAAAAUGGAACUUGAUGCAGCUUACCAGUUUUCAGUCAAACUGUCCAACCCAUGCCAGCAUAGAAAGCAGACGUUAAAUGAUGGUGAUGAUACACACACACAUGUAAUCACAUGGUCCUGGGUAGUCCACUAGAAGCAAGUGUCUUCUACUAUAGUUUUAGACUGACCAAAGCCUUGUGAGUACAGUUGAUAGACAGAAACUGAAAGACCAUAGUAUUUAUACACACACACAUGUAUGUUUGUGGUUUGUGUCUGUGUUUGUCCCACUACCACCGCCUGACAACUUGGUAGUUCAGUAAAAGUAGACUGAUAGAAAAAAAAAUAUAUACUGGGAGGUCAAUUUUUUGGACUAAAAUUCUUCAAAGCAGAGUUCCAGCAUAGAUACAGUCUAAAAUGAUUGAAGCAGGUAAAAGUUAAAAGAUGUAUUUGUGUAUAUAUUUAUAUACAUAUGUACAAACUUAGAGAUGCUAUGGAGUAAGACAGACUUGUAAUGUUAGAGUUGUAAAGUUGACAAUCUACUCCAUGUUUUGCACUCUUUCCGUCUAUUAAAUUCCCUCACAAUGCACUUGGUUUGGAGCCAUAAAAGAAGACACCUGCUUCUUAAAAAUACAGCCAUGCCUUAUGCCUAUUGUAUUGCUAUAUCUUAUCUUGCUUUUUUUUUUUCCCCAUUUCAUUUCAGAAAGAAAAGUCCAUUCAAUAACUACUUGCUUAUGAUCGUUGUGAAAUAAGAGAGACAGAACACAUUGCAAGAUGUAAUCCAGAAUACUUUCAAUCCAAUAAGUUAGAUUAGUUUAUUAAUGCAAUCUAUAUUGUAAGUAGGCUAAAUCUGAAUUUAUCUUUGUUCUUUCAUCAUGCCUACUAAUUUUAUGUUCAUAAAAAAUAACAUCAAUCAGAAUGAUGCAAUUAAUAAUUUGUAUGUUUGGGCAAUGAUCUCAAGUGAGAUAUUUGUUUAAAAGAUAUAAAUUUUUUCUUUUUUUUUUCAACUUAAAAAAUAAUGAUAAUAACAAUAAGUUCAAAUUUAUUCACAAGGCCAAUAGUUUUGAGACAAGUUGGGCAAAUCAUUACUAUUGAACCUAAUACUUGUGAUUUCGUUGUUGUUAAAAUAAACACUGAGUGAAGGUAACAUAGGCGGUAAAAGGAGAUAGAGAAUACUAAGUAAAAAUAAAAUAAGUGAGGGAGGAGAGGGAGAAGACUGAGUGAAAAUAACAUAGGACAGGAAGAUGAGGAAGAAUACCCAGUGAAGGUAAUGUAAAAGAUGAAGGACAAGGAGAACACUGAGUGAAGGUAGCAUAGGAGAGGGAGAAUGCUGCAAGAAGGUAACAUGGGAGAGGGGAAAUAUUGCGUGAAAGUAAUAUAGAAGGGGAAGGAGGAGAAUACUGAGUGAAAGUAAUAUAGGAGAGGGAGAAUAGUGAGUGAAGGUAACAUAGGAGAGGGAGAAUAGUGAGUGAAGGUAACAUAAGAGGGAGAAUAGUGAGUGAAGGUAACAUAAGAGAGGAAGGAGUGGGAGAAUACUGAGUGAAGAUAAUAUAAAAGGAGAAGGAGAAUACUGAGUAAAGGUAACGGGUUGAAGGAGAGGGAGAAUACUAAGUGAAGGUAAUAUAGGAGAUGGAGAAUACUAAGUGAAGGUAAUAUAGGAGAGAGAAUACUAGGUGAUGGUAACAUAGGAGCAGUUGAAGAUGGAGAAUACUGAGAGAAGGUUAUGUAGGAGAGGGAGAAUACUGAGUGAAGUUAACAGAUGAGAGGGAGAAUAUUGCAUGAAGUUAACAUAGGUGAAGGUAAUAUAGGGUUGGAAAGGGAGGGAGAAUACUGAGUGAUGGUAAAAUAGGAGGGAGCAUAGUGAGUGAAGGUAACAGACAAGAGGGAGAAUACUGAGUGAAGGUAACAUAGGAGAGGGAGCAUAGUGAGUGAAGGUAACAGACAAGUGGGAGAAUACUGAGUGAAGGUAACAGAGGGAGCUUAGUGAGUGAAGGUAACAGACAAGAGGGAGAAUACUGAGUGAAGAUAACAGGAGAGGGAACAUAAUGAGUGAAGGUAACAGACAAGAGGGAGAAUACUGAGUGAAGGUAACAGGAGAGGGAGCAUAAUGAGUGAAGGUAACAGACAAGAGGGAGAAUACUGAGUGAAGGUAACAUAGAUGACGGAAAAUACUAAGUGAUGCUAAUAUAGGGUCAGAAGGAGAGGGAGAAUAAUGAGUGAAGGUAACAUAGGAGAGGGAGAAUAAUGAGUGAAGGUAACAUAGGAGAGGGAGAAUGCUGAGUGGAAGUAAUAUAGAAUGGAGAGGAGAGGAAAAUAUUGAGUUACAGUAACAUAGAAGGAGAAUACUGAGUAAAGGUAACAUAGUGGAGAUAGAAUUCUGAGUGAAGGUAACAUAGGUGAAGGAGAAUAUUAAUUGAACGUAAUAUAGGGGAGGAAGGUGAGGGAGGAUAGUAAGUGAAGGUAACAUAGGAGAAGAACCAGAUGGAGAAUACUAAGUGAAGGUUAGAUAGGAGAGGGAGAAUACUGUGUGAACAUGACAUAAGGUAGGGAGAAUACUGAAUGAAGGUAAUAUAGAAAGAGAAGGAAAGGUCUAAUACUGAGUGAAGGUAGGAGAGGGAGAAUACUGAGUGAAGGUAACUUAUGAGAGGGAGAAUGCUGAGUGAUGGUUAGGAGAGGAAGAAUACUGAGUGAAAGUAACAUAGGAGAGGGUGAAUAUUGAGUGAAGGUAACAUGGGAAACGAAGGAGAGGGAGAAUAUUGAGUGAUGGUAAUGUCAAAGGGGAAAGAGAGGGAGACUACUGAGUGAAUGUAACAUAGAAGAAGGAGAGGGAGAAUACUGAGUGAAGGUAAUAUAGUAGGGGAAGGAGGAGAAUACUGAGUGAAAGUAAUAUAGGAGGGAGAAUAGUGAGUGAAGGUAACAUAGGAGAGGGAGAAUAGUGAGUGAAGGUAACAUAAGAGAGGGAGAAUACUGAGUGAAUGUAACAUAGAAGGAGGAGAGGGAGAAUACUGAAUGAAGCUAACAAAGGAGGGAGAAUACUGAAUGAAGGGAACAUAGGAGAGGAGAAUAGUGAGUGAAUGUCACUGAGGGAGAAUACUGAAUGAAGAGAACAGGAGGAAGAGAAUACUGAGUGAAGGGAACAUAGAAUAGAAAUGAUGAGAGGUAAAUUAACCCAUUAAGCAUUUUCUGAUGUGCUAAGGAUUCUGCCAAUUCACUGCUUUUAUAAUGUUUUCAAACUUUGGCAGUAGGUCAUCAGUUUGAGGCAAAAGGGUAAGCCGUUUGCAUUAAUCCUUGUUCUCAGAUAACAUUUCAUCUUAUUGGUCCUGAAAGAAUGAUAGUCAAAGUUGACCUUUGUGGAAUUAGAAUUCAGAAUAUAAUGAAUCAGAAAAUAUACUGCUGGUCAUUAUUUCCAUGCUAAAGCUUCUGCCAACUCCUCACCUUAAUAAUAAUAAUAUUAAUUCUUUCUACUAUAGACACAAGACCUGGAUGGUCCAGCGCUCAAGAUGUACUUAUCUUACAGACCCCAAAAGAAUGAAAGGCAAAGUUGACCUUGGCAUGGUUUGAACUCAGAAUGAAACCAGAAAAAAAUUAUUGUCCUGCAUGUUACUGAUUUUUUUGCCAGCUCCCUACCUUAAUUAUAAUAAUAUUAAUUGCCCAAAUUUUUUUCUACAAAGCCAGCAGUUUUACAGGAUGUUGGGGGUUAUUUUAUUCAUCCCUGAAAGAUAAAAACCAGAGUAGAACUUAGCAAGAUUUGAACUUACAAUGUAAAGAGCCAGAAGAAAGGCCACUUAGCAUUUUCUCUGAAGCAUGAAUGAUUCUACCACCUUGCCACAUGAUAAUAAUAAUAAUAAUCCUUUCUACUAUAGGCACAAAGCCUGGAAUUUGUGGGGAGGGAGAUAAUCAAUUACACCAACCCCAGUACUUGACUGGUUCUUAAUUUAUUGACCCUGAAAGGAUGAAAGGCAAAGUUGACCUCGGCAGAAUAUGAACUCAGAAUGUUAAGACAGAUGAAAUACUGCUAAACAUUUUGCUCAACAUAAUGAUUCUGCCAGCUCACCACCUUUUCAAUAAUAAUAAUAAUCUUUUCUACUAAAGGCACAAGGCCUGAAAUAUGGUGGGUAGGGGACUAGUCGGUUAUAUCAACUCCAGUGUUUCACUGGUACUUAAUUUAUUGACCCCGAAAGGAUGAAAAGCAAAGUUGACCUCAGCAGAAUAUGAACUCAGAAUGUUUAGACAGAUAAAAUACCACUAAACAUUUUGCCUAAUGUGCUAACAAUUCUGCCUGCAUGCCACCAUUCACACUUGCAACAAAAAAAUCUCUGUCCCAUUUUAAAGAAAAGAAAUAUGUCCCAGUAUGUGUUACUUUGAGUAGAUGUUAUCUACAAUAGCGUUGAACUGCCCAAAGCCUUGUGAGCAUCUUUGGUAGACAAAAACAGAAAGAAGCCCAUAGUGUGUAUAUAUACAUGUGUGUGUGUCUAUGUGUGUGCCACUCACUACCACUUAGCAACCAGAUUUGUUUUUUUUUAAAUAGCAGUUUGGCAUUAGAGAUCAAUAGAAUAAGUACUGGGUUUUAAAAAGAAUAUUAUUACUGAGGUGAAUUCAUUCAGCUAAAACCUUCAGGGAAGUACCCCAGCAUGGCCAUUGUUCAAUGAUUGUAAAAACUGAAAGCUGAAGGAACAAAAGAUGAAGAAUAAGAAUGUGCUUAGUUGUCUACAUCAUUAUAUUGAUGCAGGAGUGGCUGUGUGGUAAGUAGCUUGCUUACAAGCCACAUGAUUCUGGGUUUAGUCCUACUGCAUGGCACCUUGGGCAAGUGUCUUCAACUAUAGCCUCAGGCCAACCAAAACCUUGUGGGUGGAUUUGGUAGACAGAAAACUGGAAGAAGCCUGUCAUAUAUAUGUGUGUGUUUGUGUAUAUGUGUAUGCAUGUAAUUGUGUGUCUGCGUUUGUGCCCUCCCCCCGUCACUUGACAACCGAUGUUGGUGUGUUUAUGCCCCCAUAACUUAGCAGUUUGGCAAAAGAGACCGAUAAAAUAAGUACUAAGGCUUACAAAGAAUAAGUCCUGAGGUUGAUUUUUUUCGACUAAAGGCAGUGCUCCAGCAUGGCCACAGUCAAAUGAUUGAAACAGUAAAAGAAUAUACUGAGAAAAAGUAUAUGCACAGAGAACAUGUGGGAAAACACUGAAUCAAAAUUAUGAAGACAGAAGUGGAAUGAGAUCCAUGAAUGGCAGAUCCAUGAUCCAAUGAGAUCCAUGAUCCAAUCAUGUAGACAUGAGAAAACCAAACACUGGAUUAUAUACUCUCUCUCUUUACUAUUUGACUUGUUUCAGUCAUGUGACUGUGGCCAUGCUGUAGCACCGUCUUUAGUCGAACAAAUCAGUUGACUUGUUCUUUGUAAGCCUAGUACUUAUUUUAUCGAUCUCUUUUGCCGAACCACUAAGUUACAGGGACGUAAACACACCAGCAUCAGUUGUCAAGUGAUGUUGGAGGGACAAACACAGACACACAAACAUAUCCACAUACGUACAUAUAUAUAUAUAUAUAUACAUAUAUACGAUGGGCUUCUUUUAGUUUCCGUCUACCAAAUCCACUCACAAGGCUUUGGUCGACCUGAGGCUAUAGUAGAAGACACUUGCGCAAGGUGCCAUGCAGUGGAACUGAACCUAGAACCAUGUGUUUGGUAAGCAAGCUACUUACCACACUGCCACUUCUACACCUAUCAUUAAGAAAAAAUACAGAAUGACCUAAAUCAGUGGUUCUCAACCAUUUUUUACCUAUAGACCCUCCUAGCCAAUCAAAGAUUAACCUUAUGUUUUUAUAAUUAAAUAUUAGGAAUUGUGUAAAAAUAAUUGUUUAAAAUAUUUUGUAUACUGUAGAAAUAUAAUCAAAUUAUUGCACAUAGAUUUUAAGAACAGAAUCUUCUAUGGACACCCAAAGGUCAUGUGGACCCCAGUUGACAGAUUUUAAGAACAGAAUCUUCUAUGGACACCCAAAGGUCAUGUGGACCCCAGUUGACAGCCACUGGUCUAAAUGAAGAUAUAGAAAAGGAAGAAAAUGAAAAAUCCUAGGGGAAGGUUAUAUAAAAGAAGGGAAAAGAAAAACAUACUGUGAAGGUCGUAUAGAUAAAGGCGUGGUGGUGGUGGUGGGAGAAUACUAAGUGAAGGUAAUAUAGAAGAGGAAGGUUAGGGAGUAUAUGAGUGAAGGUGUUUUAGAGAGAAAGGAGGGGUAUGAUGAGUGAAGACUUAAUAUAUAAGAGUGGGGUGAGGAAGAAUAAUGAAUGAAAGUAAUUCAGAAGAGGAACAGGAGGAAGAAUACUAAGUGAAGGUAAUAUAGAAGAGUAAGGAGAGGGAGAAUAAUGAGUGGAGGUGAUAUAGAAGAGGGUGGAGAAGGAGAAUGCUGAAUGAAGGUUAUAUAGAAGUGGAAGGGGAGGGAGAAUACUGAGUGGAGGGGAUAUAGAAGAAUGGGAGGAAGACUACUGAGUAAAGGUAAUACAGAAGAAGAGGGGAAAUUAUAGAGAAGAGGAGGGGGGGAGAAUACUGUGAUGAUAAUAUAGAAGACAAAGGAGUGGGAGAAUGCUGGGGGGAUGUAAAUAAAGAAGAGGAAAAAUAAGGAGAAAAAUGUGUAAAGGUAAAAUAAAGCAGUACGGGGGGGGGGGAGAAUAAUAAGUGAAUGUGAUACAGAAAGGGAAAGGGGAAGAAGAAAACUGAGUGAAGGUAAAAUAGAAGAGAAUCAGGAGGGAAAGAAAUAAUGAAAGUACCGUAAAUCCUUGAGUAUAAUCCACAUUUUUUACCUAAAAUUUAAAGGUCAAAAUCCCUAGUGCGUACUAUAUAAAAAUGAAAAUUAUUUUCUUAGCACUGUCCGAGUCUCUAUUUGCUGUCCGGCAAUGUUUAUUCUCACGCAUUUUGUGAUGUCAGGCGUGAAAAUACCUUAAUCUAAGCCUGAAAGCAAUGAAGUCAUAAAAGAAUCAUCCAUAACUUGCAAUACGCAACAUUUAUUAAAUGUUAUUACUGUUAUUUCUUUAUUUUCUGCAAACAAAAUGCACAAAAAAGCUACACGUUUGUAUUAUGUUAUAUCAUCAUCAUCAUCAUCAUCGUUUAGCGUCCGUUUUCCAUGCUAGCAUGGGUUGGACGGUUCUACUGGGGUCUGAACCAUCCAAUACAAUAAUAAUAAAGGAUGUUACUGUAUACAUUUUUACAAACCAAGGACGUUAUAUAGACCGCCUUGACUUAAGUUAGACUUAAGUAUUAUACACAAGGUUUAGGUUUUUCAGAGGUAUAGCCCCCUAAAAAUCCCCUGUGUAUUAUACUCAAGGACUGACUAUACUUGAGGAUUUACGGUAAUAUAGAAGAGGAAGGGCAGCAAGAAUACUGAGUGAAGGUGAUAUAAAAGGGGAAAGGGAAGGAGUAUACAGAUUGCAGGUAAUAUAGAAGAGGGGGAGAGGAAGAAGAAUGUGUAAAGUUAAUAUAAAGGAGGAAGGGUAGGGAGAAUACUAAGUAAAGAAAGAAGAAAAAAGUGGAGAGAAUAUUGGGGGAAGAUGAUAUAGAAUAGUAUGGGUAGGGAGAAUACUGAGUGAAGGUAAUAUAAAAAAAGGAAGGGUAGAGAGAAUAAGUGAAGGCAUGAGAAUGCUGAGGGAAGGUGUAGGAGAAGACUGAGAAAAAUCAUAUAAAAGACGAAGGGAUGGAGAGUACUGAGUGUAGGUAAUAUUGAUGAGGAAGAGUCAGAAGAAUACAAAGGGAAGGCAAUAUAGAAGGGUGGGAGUGAGAAUACUGAGUGAAGGUGAUACUGAAGAUGAAAGGGAGGGAGAAAAUGAGUGAAGGUAAUAUAGAGGAAGUGGAGUGGGGAGAAUACUGAGUGAGAUUAUGUAGAAGACAAAGGUGAGAGAGAAUACUGGGGGAAAGUAAUAUAGAGGAGGAAGGAGGGAGAAUUUCGAGUGAAGGUAAUAUAGAUGAGGAAGUAGAGGGAGAAUACUGAUUGAAGAGAAAUGGGAGGGAGAGUACUGAGUGAAGGUAAUGUAGAAAUAGGGCAGGAAGCAGAUUACUGUGUGAUGGUGAUGUAGAAGAGGAAGUGGAGGGAGAAUUCUGAGUGAAGGUAAUAUAGAAGUGGCAGGAGAAUACUGAGUGACAGUAAUAAAGAAGAUGAAAGGUAGGGAGAAAAAUGAACGAAUGGAAUAAAGAAGAGGAACAUCAGGGAGAAUCCUGAGUGAAAGUAAUAUGGAAGAAGGGAAUGGAGAAUUCUGGUAAAGUUAAUAUAAAAGUGGAAAGAGAAUACUGAGUGAAGGUAAUAAAGGAGAGGAAAAAUACUGAGUGCAGGUAGUAUAGAGGGGAGGGCAGAGGGAGAAAGCUGAGUGCAGAUAAUAUAGAGGAGGAGGGCAAGGGAGAUUACUAAGUGGAUGUUAUAUAGAAGAAGAAGGGAAAGGUAAUGAUAAGUAAAUGGUGGCGAGGAGAAUACUGAGAUAAGGCAAUAUUGAAGAGAAGGAAGAAGAAUACUGAGUGCAAGUAGUACAGAAGAGGAAAAGGAGGGAAAAAUGAGUUUACUGUAAUAUAAAAGAGGAAGUGGAGGGAGAAUAUCGAAUAAAUAGAAGAGGAAGGGGAGGAAGAAUAUUGAGUGAGGAUGAUAUAUAGAAGAGGAAAGGAGGAGGAGAAUAUUGAGUGAAGAUAAUAUAGAAGGAGUAAAAAUGUGAAGGUUAUAUAUGAGAGGAAUGGGAGGGAGUAUACUGAGUGAUGGCAAUAUGGAAGAGGAAGGCAAGGGAGAAUACUGAGUGUAAGUAAUACAGAAGAGUGGAGAGGAGGAGAAUAACGAUUGAAGGUAAUAUAGAAAAGUAAAUGGGGUGAGAAUACUGAGAGUGAAGGGGAAGGAGCGGGAGUAUACUGAGUGAAGGUAAUAUAGAAGAAGUGAGAGAAUACUGUGUGAUGGUAAUACAGAAAGGGAAUUGGAGGGAGAAUAGUGAGUGAAGGUAAUAUAGAAGAGGGUGGGGAAUGACAGUAGAGAGUGAAGGUAAUAUUGAAGACAAAAGAGGAGAAUACUGGGGGAAGGUAAUAUAAAAGAAGAAGGGAAGAGAGAAUACGAAGUGAAGGUAACAGAUGAAGAAAGAGAAGGAGAGUGAACAUAAUAUAGAUGAAAAAGUAGAGGGAGAUUACUGAGAGAAGAUUAUAUAGAAGAGGAAGGGGUAGGGAAGAAUUCUCAGUGAAAGUAAUAUAGAAGCAAAGUGAGAUUUCUGCGUGAAGAUAAUAGAAGUGAUGAAUGGUAGGGAGAAUAACGAGUGAAGGUAAUAUAGAGGAGGAAUGGGAGGAAGAAAACUGAGUGAAGGUUAAAAAGAAGUGGAAGGAGCUUGGAGAAUAGUGAGUAAAGGUAAUAUGGAAGAAGGGGUGGGAGAAUAAUGGGUAAAGUUAAUAUUGAUGAAAAAGGAGAGGGUGAAAUCUGACUAAAAGAAUAGAACUCUAAGUGAAGUUUAUAUAGAAAAAGGAAAGGAAAGAAGAAAUCUGAGUGAAAGUUUUAUAGAAAAGGAAGGUGGAGGAGAGCCAAAGUGAAGGUUGCACAGAAAAUGAAGGCAAUGGAGAAUGCUAAAUGCAGGUUAAAUAGAACUGACAGAAGUUUAUUUUGAAAAGAAUGGAAGAAAGACCUCUGAAUGAAUGAAGCAGGGGAGAAAGCAAAGUGAAGGUAAUAUACAAAAAAGUCGGGAGAAGAACUCUGAUUGAAGGUUGCAUAGAAAAUGAAAGCAGGGAAAUUCACUGAUUGAAGGUUAUAUAGAAAUGGUAGGAUAGAACACUGAGUGAAGUUUAAAUAGGAUACUCUCUGAUGGUUAUAUAGAAAUGGAAGGGAUGGGAGAACACUAAGUGAAGGUUAUAUAAAAAAUGAAAGGCAGGGAGAACACUGAGUAAAGGUUAUAUAGAAAAUGAAGUGGGAGGAAAUUAUUAAUGAAAGUUAUUUUGAAAAAGAACCCUCACUGAGUGAGGGUUAUAUAGCAAAUAAUGAAGGAGGAGAAUAUUAAGUGAAGGUUAUAUGAAAAUAAAUGAGAGGAAGAUCACCGUGGGUAGGUUAUAUAGAAAUGGAAGAGAAGGGAGAAUAAUAAGUGAUAGUUACAUAAAGAGGGAAGGGUAGGGAGAAUGAAUGAAGAGUAUAUAGAACAAGAAUGGGUGGUAGAUCAUUUACUGAAGGUUAUAUAGAAAAGGAAGGGGAGGGAGAACACUGACUAAAGGUUACAUGGGAAAGAAUGUUAAGGAGAACAUUCAGUGAAAGUUAUAUUGAAAAGAAGGUUGGGGAAAAAGUGAAGGGAAGGUUAACUAGAUAAAGAGGAGGGAUGAAUAUUGAGCAAAGGUUAUAUGAAAAAGGAAGUGGUGGGGAAAUACUGAGUGCAAGUUAUAUAGAAAAUAAACAUGAGGGAGAUCAUUGAGUGAAUGGUAUCAUCAUUGUUUGGCGGCGAGCUGGCAGAAACGUUAGCACGCCGGGUGAAAUGCGUAGCCGUAUUUCGUCUGCCGUUACGUUCUGAGUUCAAAUUCCACCGAGGUCGACUUUGCCUUUCAUCCUUUCGGGGUCAAUUAAAUAAGUACCAGUUAUGCACUGGGGUCGAUAUAAUCGACUUAAUCCGUUUGUCUGUCCGUGUUUGUCCUCUCUGUGGACAGCCCCUUGUGGGUAGUAAAGAAAUAGAUAUCAUCAUUGUUUAACGUCCGUUUUCCAUGCUAGCAUGGGUUGGAUGGUUUGACUGGGAUCUGGGAAGCCAGGAGGCUGCACCAGGCUCCAGUCUGAUCUGGCAGUGUUUCUACAGCUGGAUGCCCUUCCUAAUGCCAACCACUCUGUGACUGUAGUGGGUGCUUUUUAUGUGCCACCAGCACAAGGGCCAGAGGAAGCUAGCAACGGCCACAAUUGGUUGGUGUUUUUUAUGUGUCACCGGCAUGGCUGCCAGUCAAGGCGGCGCUGGCAUUGGCCACGUUCAGAUGGUGCUUUUUAUGUGCCACAGGCUUGGGUAUCACAAAUACAAUUUCCAAUUGAUUUUUAUUUUGAUGUUGAUGGUAUAUAGAAAAGAAAAGGGAGAGAGAAAAUUAAGUGAAUGUUAUAUUGAAAAGAAUGGAGAAUAAGGACCCUAAAAGAAAGGUUAUAUAGAAAAAUGACAGGGAGAAAGAACACUAAGAGAAGGGAGAACAUUAAGUAAGGAUGUCGAGUAUAAUCUGAAGUGAAUGAUAAAUAGAAAAUGAAAAGGAGAGAGAACAUCAAGUAAAAGGUUACAUGAAAGGUGGGGAGAGAACCUAAAGUAAAGUAUAUAGAUAAAAAACAAGAAGGGGGUGGCAGGAGAACACUGAAUAGGUGGGAGGUCACUGACUGAAGCUUAUACAGAUAUUGAGAGAGACAUUAAGUGAAGUUUAUACAAAAACUACACUAGAAGGAGAUUAUUGCGUAAAGAUUUUUAUAGAAAUGCAAUGGAGAGGAGGAAAGAACACUACAUGGAAGUUAUAUGGAAAUGGGGUUCAAGGAUAAUAUAUUAGCUGAAGGUAGGCAGCAAAUUGGCAGAAUCAUUAGCAUAUCGGACAAAAUGAUUAGUGGCAUUUCAUCUGCUUUUACAUACUGAGUUCAACUUGCAUUGAGGUUGACCUUCAGGAUCAAUGAAAUAAGUACCAGUUGAGCACUGGGGUCGAUGUAAUUGAAUUCCUGAAAUUGCUGGCCUUGUGCCAAAAUACGAAACCAUUAUUAUUAUUGUUAUCAUUAUCAUCAUCAUUAUUAUUUUCAUAUACACAUAACAGAUUAGACUGUGGAUUGUUGGAAAAGAAAAAAAAAUCCUAACAUUGGGCUACAAGUUACCUUAGGUGCCAAGAACCCUCUUAAGUAUUCUAGCUCUCCCUAAUAACACUGUUAUCUUUAUUCAAAUACACUCAACAGAUUAGACUUGGAAAAGAAAAGAAUCCUAACAUCAGUCUACAGCAAGUAACCUUAGAUGCCAAGAACCCUCCUAAGUAUCCUAGCUGUCCCUAAUAAUGCUGUUUUCUGGAGCUGUACAAAACUGGGUUUUAUGCCUAUUUCCACUAUCUAUCUGUUCAAAUCUUUAGGUAUAGUUCUCAAUGCACCUAUAUUGGGAUACAUUUUACCAGCACUUUCCAUAGACUCUGUAAUUCAAUGGUUAUAUCUUGGUACUUUGCUAAUUCUUCUAUUCUUCUCAUAUUAAUUUUUUCAUCAUUUGGGACUGUAAAGUCAAUUAUCUGGCACUUUCUAUUGUCUUUAUCUACUACUAUGAAAUCAGGCUAGAUAGCCUGAUUUCUAUUACUCUUUCAGUCUGAAUGUUAAAGUCCCACAGCAUCUUGUACUUCUUACUUUCUACUACUUUACUAGGUUCAUGUUCAGACUAUUUAUCAGUACAUUCAAAUCUUAGCUUUCUACAUAGCUUCCAGCAGAUUGCUCACCCUAGAUUGUCACGUCUUUUAUUGUAUUCUUUCUUUGCCGGCACGCUACAUUCACUUACUAUAUGAGUGAUGCUUUCCUCUUUUGAUUUACAUAAUUUAUAUUGGGAAUUUCCUUGGCUUUUAUCCAAUUAGUCCUUAAUGCUUGAUCUUAUGCAGCUAGCAAACUUUCUGUUUCCCUCCUCAGCUUUAUUAUUAUUAUUAUUAUUAUUAUUAUUAUUAUUAUUAUUAUUAUUAUUAAGGCAGCAAGCUGGCAGAAUAGGUAAAAUACUUUGUGGUAUUUCACCCAUCACUACAUGUUCUGAGUUCAAAUUCCACUCAGGUCAAAUUUACCUUUCAUCCUCUCAGGGUCAAUAAAUUAAGCACCAGUGAAACACCAGUCUUUUUGCAUAUAACCUGCAUUUAGUGUUCUCUACUCUUUUCCUUUUCUAUAUAGUCUUCCUUAGUGUUUUCCAUACAAUUUGUUUUCCUCCAAAAGCAUCAAUCAGGGAUCUCUCUUCCCUGCCAUUUCUAUAUAACCAUCACUGUUACUUUCCUUCUUCCAUUUGUUCCUGUCUAUAACCAUCAUUUAUGGAUUUCUCUCCCCUUACCAUCAUUUAUGGAUCGCUUUCCCCUUCCUUUUCUAUACAACCUUCAUUUAAUAUUCUCCUCACCCUUUAUUUUCUAUAUAAACUUUAUUCAGUGUUUUCCCACCCAUUGCUCUUUUAUACAAACUAAACUUAAUGGUCCCCUCCUCUCCUUUCCUAUAUAUAUCCUCCACUCAGUGAUCUCCCUCCUAUUUAUUUUCUAUAUAACCUUCCUUUAGGGAUCUACCUCUCUUUCCUUUUCUACAUAACCUUCACUUAAUAUUCUCCCACCUAUUUAUUUUCUAUAUAACCUUCACUUAGUGUUUUCCCUCGCCUUUAUUUUCUAUAUAACCUUCCUUCAGUGUUCUUCCUCCCCUUCUUUUCCUAUAUAACUUGCAUUCAGAGUUCUCCCUUCACCUUUUCCUCUAUAUAACCAUCACAUAAUUUUCUCCUCACACUUCAACUUCUAUAUACUAUUCAAUCAGUAACCUCCUUUCUGUUCAUUUUCUACAAAACAUCCACUCAGUCUUUUCCCUCCCCUUUCUUUUCCAUGUAGCCUUCAUUUAAUGUUCUCCAUGUUCUUCCUCCACAAUGUAACCAUCACUUAAUGUUUCCCUUCACCUUUAUUUCCUAUGUAAUCUUCACUCAGUGUUAUAAUCCACUUCCUUUCCUAUACUACCUUCAUUUAAUAUUCCUUUUGAAUUUUGGCACAAGGCCUGACUUUUUUGGGUAGGGAUAUGUCAAUUACAUUUGUCCCAGUAGUCAACUGGUACAACUCAGAAUGUAAAUAUGGAUGAAAUACUGCUAAGCAUUUUGAUUAACAAGCUAACAACUCUGUCAGCUUGCUACCUUAAUAAUAAUGAUAAUAAUCCUUUCUACUCUGGGUACAAGGCUUGAAGUUUUGGGGGAGGGGGCUAGUCAAUUGCAUUGACCAGUGUUUCGCUAGUGCUUAAUUUAUUGACCCUGAGAGGGUGAAAGGCAAAUUUGACCUCAGUGGAAUUUGAACUCAGAACACGUAGUGAUGGGUGAAGUACCAUUAAGCAUUAACCAAAGGGGGUGAGUGAAUGUUAUAUAGAAAUGAACGGGAAGGGGGAAUAAUGAGUGUAGGGGAGGAAAAGUGAUGGUUAUAUAGACAUUGAAAGAAAAGGAGAGCAUUAAAUGAUGGUUAUAUAGAAAUGGAAGUUGAGGGAGAAAACUGAGUGAAGGUUAUAUGCAAAAUGUAUAGGAAAGAGAUCAUUAAGUGAAUGUUAUGUAGGAAAUAAAUGUGAGAUCAUUGAGUGAAGGUUAUAUAGGAAACAAGAUAGAAGAAGAACAUUUUCUGAAAGUUAUAUAGAAAGGGAAGGUGUAAGAAGAUGUUAAGGGAAGGUUGUGUAGAAUAAGAAGGGGAAUGAGAACCUAACUGAUGGUUAUAUAGAAAAAAGAAAGUGAGGAAAAACCCAAAGGGUAGGUUACACAGAGAAUGAAAUGGAAGAAGAAUUUUAACUGAAUGUUAUAUGGAAAAUAAAUGAGAUAGAGACCACAAUGAAAGUUAUUUAGAAAUGGAAGGGAAAGGACGAAUGAAUGAUGGUUACAUAGAAAGGGAAAGAGAGGGUGGACACUUAAGUGAAGGUUUUAUAGAAAAAUAUAAUGUUUAUCAUUUAAAUUGGUUUGAAUUAACUAUGUAUUAUCUCAUAGUGCCAAAAUUUCAAUGAUGUGAUUGUAUAUUUUUAGAAUGACAUUGUAUAGUAGGUGUGAGAGGCUGAAUCUAGUCAGUUUGAACAUAAACAUGUAGAAUACAGGGGCUUGAUAUGGCUGGUUUAAAUGCUAAAGGGUAAUUGAAUGUUAUGUUGAAAAGAAGGUGGAGAGGAACAUUAAGGGUUAUAUAAAAAAUAACAGGGGAAUUCUGAGUGAAGGUUAUACAAGGGGCUACCCAAAAGUAACUGGAAAUGUUCUCUAUGGGACAAACCCAUUGUAGUUCAGGCUUCUGCUGCUAGAAGCCACUUGAUGCAACCCUCAGGCAUCAGUCUGCAGACCGACAACAUUUCUUAUCGUACUGCCACCUGGAUGCAUAUUUGUUUUGCAGUGCUUCUCCCCUGUUCGUCAAUUUUUCUGAUGGCUGAAACAAAGGAACAGCAUGCUUCCAUGAAAUUCUGUUUAUUGCUGGGGAAAAUGGUGGCUGAAACAGUUGUCAUACUUCAAAUAGCUUACAAGAAUUCUGCCAUGUGCAAAACACAAGUUUAUGAGUGGUUUUCAUGCUUUAGGAAUGGUCACGUAUUGCUUUUGUAUUAUAGCAACAAUAUAUAUAUAUAUAUACUCUUUUGCUUGUUUCAGUCAUUUGACUGUGGCCAUGCUGGAGCACCGCCUUUCUAGUCUAGCAAAUCGACCCCAGGACUUAUUCUUUGUAAGCCUAGUACUUAUUCUAUCGCUCUCUUUUGCCGAACCGCUAAGUAAUGGGGACGUAAACACACCAGCAUCGGUUGUCAAGCGAUGUUGGGGGGGACAAACACAGACACGCAAACACACAUAUAUAUACAUAUAUAUAUAUAUAUAUAUAUAUAUGAUGGGCUUCUUUCAGUUUCUGUCUACCAAAUCCACUCAUAAGGCUUUGGUCGGCCCGAGGCUAUAGUAGAAGACACUUGCCCAUAUAUAUAUAUAUAUAUAUAUAUAUAUAUAUAUCAUUAAUUAAAAAAUCUUAGGGUAGCAAAAAUAUUUAUAGAAAAAUUCUUUGUUACCAGUGGUCUAGCGAGAAGGAAAAAUUUAGUCAAUAGACUAUACAUUAUUCAUAGAAGAAUACAGUGUACAUUCAAACACAUAAGAGAUGAUCAAUAAUAGGACAUCUGACUGCUCUUUCUAGUGAGUCAGAUGUCCUAUUAUUGGUCAUCUCUUAUGUGUUUAAAUGUACACUGUAUUUUUCUAUAUCUAUAUAUAUAAAACUGUAGUUGUGUGAGUGUCUGUCCCCUUCGAUUUAGAUUCCUAACUACUCCCACAUUUUGCGGUGCAGUUUAACCAAAUUCGGGUAUCUUAUAGUCGGGAUUCAUAUCGAGCUUGUCUGAGUAUUAGCGCGCGUCUAUGAUGAGUCUACGAUUUUAAAAAUAAUUUAACAUCAUUUUUUAUUCCAUUUUAAUGCAUAAUUUUUCGUGUGUCGAUGGCGGCGGAGUUGGUGUCCAUGGUCACACCUGCACCUGUUUGCUUCUCCCCCUUCUUCCCUCCCUCGUGAAGCUGUGGGGAAGGGAGUGUAAGGAAAUCAACGUCGUAAAGCGUUGUCAAGGAGACUAGCGUUCUUUUAGAACAACGACUUCAUGGCUUGAAGACACCAAAACAGAAAUGGCUAAGAAAGCGUCUACGAUGAGUCUACGAUUUAAAAAAAAAAUUACCAUCAUUUUUUCCAUUUUAAUGCAUUUUUUCGCUAUUAUAUAAGGGAAAAACUCUCUAAAAAUGUCUACGAUGAGUCAACGAUUUAAAAAAAAAUUACCAUCAUUUUUUAUUCCAUUUUUAAUGCAUUUUUUUGCUAUUUUUUAUAACUCUCUAAAAAUGCUUAUAUAGUUAUUUCCCUUACAAACCCGAGCAACGCCGGGCAAUACUGCUAGUUUACAUAUAUAUAGAAAAAUACAAAAAAAUAGUUUCACCAUUCCAUUUCUUUUUACAUUAGGAACAGUUUCAGUUUAACAAUAAUACUUUGUUGAGUGCAUAAAAUCAUAACUCCAUGCAUGUAUGAUAUUUUCAGCUAGAAAUACUUUUUUGAAAAACUUUCGUAUGUGGGACUUACUACACUUUUCAAAGAUGCUAAACCAUCGUACUACACUUUGACAAUUUUUAUAUCUUGGCAUCUGAAGCAGCUGGAGAUACCAAAAGAACCGGCUAUUGAAAGCAAAAUUAAAUCUUGAUAAAAAAAAAAAAAAAAACGUAUUUGGCCAAAUUUGGACAUACAACAGUUUAACAUAAUAGCAAUGAUAGAUCGGUAGCCACUACACACAUUUUUUUCUUCUCUCCUUGUUUUUUUCUGUGUCCCUUUCUGUAGAAGAGCGCAGGCUCAAAAUGUAAAAGACUUUUUCAAUUCCUGAGCGUUAUACUAAUACAUCUGUUUGUUUUCUAUACCACCUGUCUUUGUCUUUUGUUUUUUUGUGAAUUCUCCCUGUAUAUAUAUAUAUAUACACACACACACAUACACACAAAUGCACACAUAUACAGGGUUGGCCAAGAGUCACCCGACAGUAUAUCAAAAUUCCAUAAAUACUUAAUAUUCAAUUUUAUUUAUUCAUUUGGGAAAAUGGUGUUGCUCAAGAAUGACUUCAGUGUGGACAAUUUUCAUGAUGUUUCAUAUUUAGAUGCUUUAUUAAAUUCAUUCAGUUAAACAUAAAUAAAUUUUGAGAAUUAAAUGGUUUUGAUUUACUGUCAGGUGACUUUUGGCCAACCCUGUUUAUAGAUGAUGGGCUUCUUUUAGUUUCUGUCUAGUGAAUCCACUCACGAGGCUUUGGUUGGCCUGAGGUCAUAGUAGAAGACACGUGCUGAAGGCACCACACUGUGGGACAGAACCUGGAACCAUGUGGUUGGAGAGCAAGCUUCUUACCACACAGCCACGCCUGCGCCUAUAUAGAUGUCAAUGUUAUAUAGAGGGUUCAAAUUCCGCCGAGGUCGACUUUGCCUUUCAUCCUUUCUGGGUCGAUAAAUUAAGUACCAGUUACGCACUGGGGUCGAUGGACUUAACCCGUUUGUCUGUCCUUGUUUGUCCCCUCUGUGUGUAGCCCCUUGUGGGUAGUAAAGAAAUAUAUAUAGAAACUAAACAGGUGGAGGACCACUGAGUGAAGGCUUUAUAAAAAGGAAGGAGAAUACUAAGUGAAGAUUAUAUAGAAAAGAAAGAGAAGAGAAGAUAUUUUGUGAAGAUAAUAUAUAAAAGGAAGGGAUGGGAGAACAGUGAGUGAAGAUGAGAUGGAAAAUAAACUGGGUGUUGGGAGAUGAAGGUUGUAUAGAAAAGGUAUAGGAAAACAUUAGCAAUUAAACUUUAUCAUUUAAACCAGUCAUACCCUGUGCAAAUAUUCUACUCAAUUUAUGUUCAAACUGGUCAGAUCCAGCCUCUCACACCUAUUUGACAAUGUCAUUCUUAAAAUAAACAAUCAUAUCAUCAAAAUCUUGAAGCUAUGCGAUAAAGCAUGAUGAACUCAAGAAUGUGAAUAAGUAUGUAUUGACAGAAUAUCAGGCCAAAAUAUUUUUUACGUCUUAUGUUCAAAGUAGCCAGACCUAAAUGAUCAUACUAUCUACCCUGGAAUGUCAUGCUAAAUAUUAACAAUCAUGUCAUUGUAAUCUAUGAAAUAUUACGUGAUUAAUUCAAAACAAGGGGAAUAAAUAAGCAUUACAUUUGGCAGUGUAAUCUGAGCGUUAAAGCCUUAGGUGAAUGUUAUGUAGAAAAGGACGUGUUGGGAGAACCUUAAGUGAAGGUUAUAUAGAAAAGGGAAUUGAAGGGAGAACAUUAAGUGAAGGUUAUAUACAGAAAAUAAGGGGAAGUGAGAACACUGAGGGAAUGUUUUAUAUAGUAAAUGAAGUGGAGAGAGAACAUUUAGUGAAGGUCAUGUGGAAAAAGAAGGGGUGGAGAACACUAAAUGAAAUUUGUAUAGAAAAGAAGGGGAGGGAGAACGUCAAGUGAAGGUUAUAUAGAAAAUGGAGUCGAGGGGGAACAUCAGGUGAAGGUUAUAUAGAAAAGGAAGGGAGGAAGAACAUUAAGUGAAGGUUAUAUUGGAAAUGGAGUCUAAGGGGAACAUUAGGUGAAGGUUAUAUAGAAAGGGGGGGAACGUUAAGUGAAUGUUAUAUAGAAAAUGAAGGAGACGUGGAAGGAACAUUAGGUGAACCUUAUGUGGAAAAGAAGGGGAGGGAGAACGUCAAGUGAAGGUUAUAUAGAAAAUGGAGUCGAGGGGGAACAUCAGGUGAAGGUUAUAUAGAAAAGGAAGGGAGGGAGAACAUUAAGUGAAGGUUAUAUUGGAAAUGGAGUCUAAGGGGAACAUUAGGUGAAGGUUAUAUAGAAAAGAGUGGGGGGAGAACGUUAAGUGAAGGUUAUAUAGAAAAUGAAGGGGAGCAUUAGGUGAAGGUUAUAUUGAAAGGGGGGGAACGUUAAGUGAAUGUUAUAUAGGAAAUGAAGGAGACGGGGGAGGAACAUUAGGUGAAGGUUAUAUAGAAAAGAGUGGGGGGAGAACGUUAAGUGAAUGUUAUAUAGAAAAUGAAGGGGAACAUUAGGUGAAGGUUAUAUAGAAAGGGGGGGGAACGUUAAGUGAAUGUUAUAUAGGAAAUGAAGGAGACGGGGAAGGAACAUUAGGUGAAGGUUAUAUAGAAAAGAGUGGGGGGAGAACGUUAAGUGAAUGUUAUAUAGAAAAUGAAGGAAGGGGAACAUUAGGUGAAGGUUAUAUUGAAAGGGGGGGAACGUUAAGUGAAUGUUAUAUAGGAAAUGAAGGAGACGGGGAAGGAACAUCAGGUGAACCUUAUGUGGAAAAGAAGGGGAGUGAGAACGUUAAGUAAAGGUUAUAUAGAAAAUGAAGGAAGGGGAACAUUAGGUGAAGGUUAUAUUGAAAGGGGGGGAACGUUAAGUGAAUGUUAUAUAGGAAAUGAAGGAGACGGGGAAGGAACAUCAGGUGAACCUUAUGUGGAAAAGAAGGGGAGUGAGAACGUUAAGUAAAGGUUAUAUAGAAAAUGAAGGAAGGGGAACAUUAGGUGAAGGUUAUAUAGAAAAUGGAAAGAAGGAAGAACAGUGAGAGAACGUUACUUUGAAAAGGAAAGGGUAGGAGAACACUAUUUGGGAAAUGAGAACAUUAAGUAAAGGGAGGGAGAAUACUGAGUAAAGGUUACUUAGAAUAUGAACGGUAGGAAGAACUCUAAGUGCAGGUGAAAGAAAAAGGAAGAAGAAUAUAUAUGUCCCAUCAUGGUCACAGUCCCAUGGCUAAAAGAAAAGAGUAUACACAUGCAUCACACAAGUAAAGGUAUUGCUGUAUACAUGCAUACAGUUAUACACUCACAUAUAUGUAGAGAGACACACAGACAAAGAGAGAGAGAGAGAGAGAGACUGACAUUUAGAGAGACAAACAGAUAGACUGAUUGAUAGAUAUCUUGUAUCCUUUAUUUUUUUUUUUUUUACUUAUUUCAGAUAUUAGAUUGAAGCCAUCCUGGGUACCACCCUGAAGUGUUUUAGUUGUACUGGUUUGGUGCUUAUUCAAUCGACUCCUUUUGCUGAACCACUUUGUUACAGGUAUGUAAACAAACCAGUUGUGUUUCUGAAGUGGUGGGGUGGGUGCAACGC
This 27819-nucleotide long non-coding RNA is filed under the name Octopus vulgaris (common octopus). The record is from RNAcentral. Lineage: Eukaryota; Metazoa; Mollusca; Cephalopoda; Octopoda; Octopodidae.